This 494-nucleotide ribosomal RNA is filed under the name uncultured bacterium. RNAcentral's name for it is "partial 16S ribosomal RNA". It matches the Rfam family "Bacterial small subunit ribosomal RNA", at positions 28 to 507 of the family's 1533-position model. The record is from RNAcentral.
GACGAACGCUGGCGGCGUGCUUAACACAUGCAAGUCGAACGGAAAGGCCUGCUUUCCCUUGUGGAUUGCGGGUACUCGAGUGGCGAACGGGUGAGUAACACGUGAGUGAUCUGCCCCCAACUUGGGUAUAAGCCUGGGAAACUGGGUCUAAUUCCCGAUAGGACUGCAGGGUGGUGCCUGUGGUGGAAAACGAUUUUCUAGUGGUUGGGGAUGAGCUCGCGGCCUAUCAGCUUGUUGGUGGGGUAAUGGCCUACCAAGGCGGCGACGGGUAGCCGGCCUGGGAGGGUGGACGGCCACAUUGGGACUGAGAUACGGCCCAGACUCCUACGGGAGGCAGCAGUGGGGAAUAUUGCACAAUGGGCGGAAGCCUGAUGCAGCGACGCCGCGUGGGGGAUGACGGCCUUCGGGUUGUAAACUCCUUUCGACCGCGGGGAAGCCACCUGGUUGGAAGGGUGGUGACGGUAGUGGUAGAAGAAGCACCGGCUAACUACGUG